AUUCAGCUUCGAGUUUAGCUCCCAGUCUUCUUCUUUCCUAGCUGCUGCACUCUGAAUCAGACGAAUUUUCAAUUGGAAUACUAUGUCUGAAUAAGAGGAAGCAAUAAUACUUUGCAUUUCUUAACACCUUCUGUUUGAGGAUCUCAAAGUACAUGAUGAAUAUCAAUGAAUUUAUUCUCAAACCCACUGUGAGGGGAAAGCAGUGAUCCUCUCAUUCCCAAUGAAAGAAAAAUUACACUAGACCCAAGAAAGCAACUUUUCAAAGGCUAUGUUCUCUGCACUGUUAUCUUUUCAAGGCUCUUUAUGUUGUUCUCCUUGAUGUGGAAGAGGUGAAGCACCAAGGAAAAUCAUUGCAUGGAGAAGUUCACUCAUAAACCAAGUUAAAGGUCCUCCAAUUCUAAUUGGAAUUUUGCUGCUCUAGAUGUCAGUGCAGACAUGAAAAGCAUCUGAUGGAAGGGGUGAGGAAAACAGAACUGGCGCCCAGGCCUGUAGAAACGUCAGCAUGACUGACCCAAGGACUUGACUUACUUU
Trachemys scripta elegans is the source of this 531-nucleotide long non-coding RNA. RefSeq lists it as uncharacterized. NCBI's taxonomy places the organism in Eukaryota, Metazoa, Chordata, Testudines, Emydidae. The record is from RefSeq and is a predicted model, not a curated record. The transcript is spliced from 3 exons.